UACGUAGGGUGCAAGCGUUGUCCGGAAUUAUUGGGCGUAAAGAGCUUGUAGGCGGUUUGUCGCGUCUGCUGUGAAAUUUCGGGGCUCAACCCCGAACUUGCAGUGGGUACGGGCAGACUAGAGUGUGGUAGGGGAGACUGGAAUUCCUGGUGUAGCGGUGAAAUGCGCAGAUAUCAGGAAGAACACCAAUGGCGAAGGCAGCUCUCUGGGACGGUACUGACGCUGAGACACGAAGGCCAGGGGAGCAAACGGG
RNAcentral lists this ribosomal RNA (253 nucleotides) under uncultured bacterium. RNAcentral's name for it is "partial 16S ribosomal RNA". It matches the Rfam family "Bacterial small subunit ribosomal RNA", at positions 524 to 776 of the family's 1533-position model. The record is from RNAcentral.